Peromyscus eremicus (cactus mouse) is the source of this 325-nucleotide long non-coding RNA. RefSeq lists it as uncharacterized. Lineage: Eukaryota; Metazoa; Chordata; Mammalia; Rodentia; Cricetidae. The record is from RefSeq and is a predicted model, not a curated record. The transcript is spliced from 3 exons.
ACCUUGGGCUCCGCUCGCGCGCACCGAUCCCUCACCCCGGACCCCGGACCCCGGGGGCCCGAGGGUGUGCAGGGCCUGCUCCUCCGCCGCCCGGCUCGACCCUGCAGAUGAUGCAGCCUUGGCUGCUGACCUGGCAUUCACUAGGAGGAUCAGGCUGACCUUGAACUCACAGCGAUCUGCUUACCUCCAGAGUGCUCAGUUUACAGAUAUUCAGUGUGCCCAGGAGGCCAGAAGACAGUGUCAGAUUCCCUGGAGCUGGAGUCACAGGCGGUUGUGAGCUUCCCAUCAUAAGCACUGGGAACUCCGCUCCUAGGCAAGAGCAGCA